RNAcentral lists this ribosomal RNA (468 nucleotides) under uncultured bacterium. RNAcentral describes it as "partial 16S ribosomal RNA". It matches the Rfam family "Bacterial small subunit ribosomal RNA", at positions 28 to 507 of the family's 1533-position model. The record is from RNAcentral.
GACGAACGCUGGCGGCGUGCUUAACACAUGCAAGUCGAACGGAAAGGCCCUGCUUUUGUGGGGUGCUCGAGUGGCGAACGGGUGAGUAACACGUGAGUAACCUGCCCUUGACUUUGGGAUAACUUCAGGAAACUGGGGCUAAUACCGGAUAGGAGCUCCUGCUGCAUGGUGGGGGUUGGAAAGUCUCGGCGGUUGGGGAUGGACUCGCGGCUUAUCAGCUUGUUGGUGGGGUAGUGGCUUACCAAGGCUUUGACGGGUAGCCGGCCUGGGAGGGUGACCGGCCACAUUGGGACUGAGAUACGGCCCAGACUCCUACGGGAGGCAGCAGUGGGGAAUAUUGCACAAUGGGCGGAAGCCUGAUGCAGCAACGCCGCGUGCGGGAUGACGGCCUUCGGGUUGUAAACCGCUUUCGCCUGUGACGAAGCGUGAGUGACGGUAAUGGGUAAAGAAGCACCGGCUAACUACGUG